UACAGAGGGGGCAAGCGUUGUUCGGAAUUACUGGGCGUAAAGGGCGCGUAGGCGGCCUGCUAAGUCGAACGUGAAAUCCCCAGGCUUAACCUGGGAACUGCGUCCGAUACUGACAGGCUUGAAUCCGGGAGAGGGAUGUGGAAUUCCAGGUGUAGCGGUGAAAUGCGUAGAUAUCUGGAGGAACACCGGUGGCGAAGGCGGCAUCCUGGACCGGUAUUGACGCUGAGGCGCGAAAGCUAGGGUAGCAAACGGG
Molecule: ribosomal RNA, 253 nt
Filed under: uncultured bacterium
Lineage: Bacteria
Description: partial 16S ribosomal RNA
Rfam family: Bacterial small subunit ribosomal RNA
Source: RNAcentral